RNAcentral lists this unclassified non-coding RNA (356 nucleotides) under soil metagenome. Its description in RNAcentral is "partial contains 5.8S ribosomal RNA, internal transcribed spacer 2, and large subunit ribosomal RNA". The stretch from base 1 to 120 matches the Rfam family "5.8S ribosomal RNA", at positions 35 to 154 of the family's 154-position model. The record is from RNAcentral.
GAUGAAGAACGCAGCGAAAUGCGAUAAGUAAUGUGAAUUGCAGAAUUCAGUGAAUCAUCGAAUCUUUGAACGCACAUUGCGCCCGCCAGUAUUCUGGCGGGCAUGCCUGUCCGAGCGUCAUUUCAACCCUCGAACCCCUCCGGGGGGUCGGCGUUGGGGACCUCGGGAGCCCCUAAGACGGGAUCCCGGCCCCGAAAUACAGUGGCGGUCUCGCCGCAGCCUCUCCUGCGCAGUAGUUUGCACAACUCGCACCGGGAGCGCGGCGCGUCCACGUCCGUAAAACACCCAACUUCUGAAAUGUUGACCUCGGAUCAGGUAGGAAUACCCGCUGAACUUAAGCAUAUCAAUAAGCGGAG